This 202-nucleotide ribosomal RNA is filed under the name uncultured bacterium. RNAcentral's name for it is "partial 16S ribosomal RNA". It matches the Rfam family "Bacterial small subunit ribosomal RNA", at positions 328 to 539 of the family's 1533-position model. The record is from RNAcentral.
ACGCUCGACACCUACGGGGAGGCAGCAGUUGGGAAUAUUGGACAAUGGAGGAAACUCUGAUCCAGUGACGCCGCGUGAAGGAAGAAGGUCUUCGGAUUGUAAACUUNUUUUGUCAGGGAAGAAAAAUGACUGUACCUGAAAGAAAAAGCACCGGCUAACUACGUGCCAGUAGCCGCGGUAAUCUGAGGCGGGCUGGCAAGGC